This is a non-coding RNA of Archocentrus centrarchus (flier cichlid), 4315 nucleotides long. NCBI's taxonomy places the organism in Eukaryota, Metazoa, Chordata, Actinopteri, Cichliformes, Cichlidae. The record is from RefSeq and is a predicted model, not a curated record.
UCCUUACAUGUUCUAAAGCCACCUGCAGAAAUCCCAGUAAGAGAAGCAAAACGCACAAAAGCAAAUGCAUUUGUCACUAAUGUAAAGGCUUCAGACACCUCAGCCACUGCAACUAAGCCUAAUAUAGAGGAAAUCAAGCCAAGAGACUCUGAUAAACAAAAGAAAAGAGACAUACCACCACAAAUCUCAAGCCUGAGCAAGUGCAUUUGUUGUGGAGAAAACCACACCGUACACAAAUGUCCAAAGCUAACAGAAAUGUCUGCGGAUGACAAGAGAAAAUUUGUUCAUGAAAACAAACUGUGUUUUGCAUGCUUGAGGAAAGGUCAUAAUUCUAGAGACUGUAAAAACAGAGCCAUGUGCAGCAUAUGCAAAAGGAGCCAUCCAACCCCUCUGCAUGAAGACCGCUCUCCAGCAGGCGAACCUGAACAAAGAAAAGCAGAACAAAAUAUGUCCUCACUGUCUUGCUCAGUGGAAGGAGGUGAUAAUGGGAGCACCUCAAUGAUUGUGCCAGUGUGGAUAUCAGCAACUAAUACUCCUAACAAUGAGACUUUGGUGUAUGCGCUAUUAGAUACGCAAAGCACCCACACGUUUGUUGAUCAGGAAGUGUGUGAAAAGCUGCGGGCAGUAACAGAGCCAGUGAAACUAAAGCUCGCAACCAUGGUCAAAAGAGACAGUAUUGUGAAGAGUCAGAGAGUACAAGGACUUAAAGUCAGAGGAUUCUUCUCCAAUACAUCCAUUGACCUACCUCCAGCUUACACAAGAGACUUUAUUCCACUUGAGCGCACACACAUUCCUACAUGCCAAACCGCCAGCAAAUGGAAACAUCUUGCAAACAUUGCUCAAGACCUUCCUCCUCUAAUGGAUUGUGCAGUUGGAUUGCUGAUAGGCUAUGACUGCUCCAGAGCCCUAGCUCCCAGAGAGGUCAUCACUGGUGGCAGCAACGAGCCUUAUGCUGUAAGAACAGACCUAGGCUGGAGCAUUGUAGGAGGGGCACCGCAGUUUGUCAAUGCAAGAGAUGUAACUGGUCUGUGUCAUCGUGUAUCUGUGAAAGAGGUACCUCCUGUAACUCCAUCAGCAAUUAUUAAGGCACUUGAGUUAGAUUUUGCAGAUACCAGGUCAAAUGACAAUGAUAUAUCACAAGAUGAUAUUCAAUUCCUCCAAAUCUUAAAAGAAGGAAUUCAUCAGAAUGAGUAUGGUCAUCUUGAAAUGCCUCUUCCCUUUAAAGCACGCCCACAGCUCCCAAACAACAAAGGUCUUGCUCUUGUUCGUUUAAAGCACCUCAAAGGGAAACUGGACAGAGAUCCCAAGUUUAAAGGUGAUUAUGUAAAGUUCAUGGAAGGAGUUCUCAGAGAUGGCGAUGCUGAAAAAGUGGACACACAGCCAACAACAGGAAAUGUCUGGUACAUACCACACCAAGGCGUUUAUCACCCACGAAAGCUGGACAAGAUCAGGGUGGUAUUUGACUGCUCUGCAAAGUUUAAAGGGACAGCUUUAAACGAUCAUCUGCUAACAGGGCCUGAUCUCACAAAUGGACUGACAGGAGUACUGUGCCGUUUGCGCAAGCACCCCAUUGCAAUCAUGUGUGAUGUGGAGAAGAUGUUUCAUAGGUUCCACGUCAACUCAGAGGACAGAGACUAUUUGAGGUUUCUCUGGUGGGAAAAUGGGAACACAGACUCAGAGCCCUCAGAAUACCGAAUGAAAGUCCACCUCUUUGGGGCAUCCUCAUCCCCUGGCUGUGCUAAUUAUGGUAUGAAACAUCUGGCCAAUGAAAAUGAAAAAGAGUAUCAGUUAGCAGCUAACUUUGUCCAAAAGCAUUUCUACGUGGAUGAUGGCCUUGUAAGUGUGGAAACUGUUGGAGAGGCAACUGAGCUUGUGAAAGAGGCUCAGGCUUUGUGUGCCAAAGGAAAGCUGCACCUUCACAAGUUUCUCUCCAACAACAGAGAUGUUCUAGACUCAGUCGAUGUGGCAGAACGUGCAGCUGAGAUAAAAGAUGUUGACCUCAACUACAGUGACCUUCCAGUGCAACGAGUACUAGGUGUAAGGUGGACUGGUUAGGAAAGUGACGCUACAAGUUGGAGACAGAAAACUGGGGAAGAAGGGUGAACGCUUACAUAAGCCAUCUAUUAUUGAAAGACCCAUUCAAAAGUUGGUUGUUCUUGUAGAAAGUAGUUAAAGGGUAUAUCCCACUGUUAUUGUAUUUCUAAAUGUGUAAAGUUUGAGGAAAGUGUAUAUUUGGAAAUUACCAUUGAUUUAUUUGUAAGAAUAUUGUAAAAUGUAACAUUUACAUUGUAUAUCAAAGGUAAUUUGGUGGGAGUGUAGCUGACGCUAUGGUGGUCUGUGUGGGUUGCCGUAGUGACAGGAAGUAGGAAUAUGCUACGAGAUUUUAUUUGCUAAUUUUGGUUUAAUAAUGGCACAAUUAUUUUAUAACAGUAAGUUACAUGGCAUUUCAGUUAAUGUUUGUUUGUAAAAUUACCGGUGCUUAAAAGAAAACUAUAUUUGUAUUAAGUCAUGGAAAUGCAUGACCCGGAAGUGUGUGUUGUCAGUAGCGGGAGAGAACGGACACAAGAGAAGUCAGAGAGAAACGAAAUCGUCGAUAAAAGACUCAAAUCUAUUAACGAUAUUGGUCCGUGUAUUUUGCGGCCAACGGAUUUUCGUUUAGGAAUCAGAAAACGAAAAACGGGAAACGCCUCGUUUCCCGAUUUUAGUUUCAAAGUUUAAAAACGGAAAACGGAAAACGAACCGUUUCCCGAUUUUCAUUUCAAAAUGGGAAAAUAAAAAAAUGGAAAACGAGCCGUUUCCCGAUUUUUGUUUCCUGAUUAAAAAUUUAAAAAUGGAUUUUAAAAAUCCGGCGUGGAAAUCGGAUUUCUGAGUUUUUAUUUUUUUCCCCAAUUCUCACCCGGAAGUUGUCCCCAUACAUUUGACAGUUUCAUGACAGUAGAGGGCGUGCUGCAGUUUCCAUCGUUGUCAAGUGUAUUUUGGAUGUCUGCGGGAUGGCAACGGGCAGUUAUGUCCUUUUUCGAGAAAGCAGACGUGUUACACUUAAGGAAGAUGACAUGUCUGUGGACAAGAUAUGCAGGAUUUUUCAGGUUAAUUGCAGUAGUCUGUACAUUACAGAUGAUGCAAACACUGCAAUAUUUCCAGAGCCAGCAGGACAUUUUUCCAUCCUAAAUCUUUCACAUCACAGUCAUUAUGAGGUCCAUGGAGAUCCAGUUCAUAGUCCACUUCCUGCAAGCAGAUCCCUACCCACUACUGGUAUUCCAUUUGCCUUCAUGCACCGACCCUCACCUUCUGCUCUGACUGACACACCACGGCCUUCAGCUGGAACGCCACGAGCAAGCAACCUGUUCCCAGCAAGAUCUUUCCAAAGGGCUAUCCAUAUUGCCAAAAUAGUAAAUCACAAGCUCAGUACUUCCAAAACAGUCAUCAUUCGCUUUUUGGAAGCUGAAGCAAAUGUGGAAGGAAUAACACAGAAGGUGAAGGAUGCCUUGGGCUGUGAUGAGGUGAUUACCCUGACAGACAGCCAAGGAAAUGAAAUAGUAGACUCGGAGGGCACAAGAAGUUCCCAUUACUGGAAACAGAACUCCAGAAAAAUCUAUGCAAUCUUUGAGGAUGACUUUGUGGAGUUCCAGAAUGGAAGAACAGCUAAAGCAAGUCGAAGGGCCGACGACAGUAUGAGCAUACAAGAGGUCAUUGGCAAAAUUGACCAACUAAAGCAAGCUGCUGAGAGCCUCCAAGAUAUCACCUCAGCAAUAAACCAGCUGUCUGAGCUUGCAAAGCACACACGCAAAGCAGUGACUGAUGCCCACCUGCAUUCUGUAAAGGAUGCCUUUGCCUGCCUCGUUUGCAAAGCUCUAAUGGAGGAACCCAUGUUUUCCACGUGCUGCGAGUCUCUAGUUGGAUGCCGAACAUGUGUGGAGCAGUGGCUGUUAACUGCAGAUCACUGUCUGAAAUGCAGAGCUGAAGAAUUUGAUCGUAGGGUACACCAAGUUAAGGGUCUCCAUGCUGUUCUCUCUCUCCUCAAAGAGAUAUAGAUGUGUAAUUCAUCUAACAUUGAAUAUAAAUGGGCAUUUGUCACUACAAAGCUAAAGAGGGUGCAGAGUUUGUAUUUCAAGCCAACAUCACACCAGCUUAAUUGACCAGGUUUUCCUACAGAGGAACCUUUUAUAAAAUCAGCUUGGGUAGUGUUGGCAUAUAUACUAACCUGCAGCCUCUGCAGCUUAUCAGUAACACGUUUCCUCAUCCUGUUUGAUGGGUGGUUUUCUCUGUAAUCACAUUGUCUUUUUUACUUGGUUGUCCUUAGGUUUCAAGCCCAGUU